UAACAAGGGGAUAGCGAUUAGAUGACAAAGGGGUAGGCUAUUACAUAAUAGUUUUGUUAACAUCUAUUCGUACGAGUUACUAAUCAAACAUCUUCAAUAUUUAUUACUUACUUUCCUUUCUAUUUAACCGACUAGCAUCGCUAGUCGGUUUUAU
RNAcentral lists this small RNA (154 nucleotides) under Staphylococcus xylosus. RNAcentral's name for it is "RNA S.aureus Orsay G". It matches the Rfam family "RNA S.aureus Orsay G". The record is from RNAcentral. Lineage: Bacteria; Bacillati; Bacillota; Bacilli; Caryophanales; Staphylococcaceae.